ACAUGCGGAUGGGGGCGAGGCUCAGAGAAGGCGAUCAUAUCAAUCUUAGUUUGAUAACUCUCACAACUGUGAUAAGAAAGCUCAGUGUUGCGAAAAGAAGCGGUCGUACCCUACUAGGACUCCAGCUUCCCGGCAAGUUUUGGAAAAUGAGAUUGAAAACAGAGAGCACCAGAAAAUGAAGACUUCAUUUCAUAUCCGGUGAGACCCAGCCAGAGUGGAGACGUUUCAUCAAAGGAAGGAACUCCAGGCUAUCCUCAUUCUAUUUCAGUUAAUACGAAGAAAAUGCAGAAGGUGUUUUAGAAUGCAGCUGAGGAGAAUGUGAGAAGCAUAAGAGCUUAUGUGACAGAAUUGAAGGAACAUGUUGCCAAACUGCAAUACCAAAAGCAGCUACUUGUUUGCUAGGUCAUUGAGCUGGAAGCAAAUGAAGCGGCAUUUGGCAGAAAUUGGCAAUUCAAGCUGAUGGGAAUUGUAGGUUUCAUCAAUUAACUCCCCAAUAGCAAAAAUACUAUGAUAAGUUGAAUUAGAAGAAAACUAGAAAUUACCAAUUUAAUCCACAAAUUCG
Ricinus communis (castor bean) is the source of this 562-nucleotide long non-coding RNA. RefSeq lists it as uncharacterized. Lineage: Eukaryota; Viridiplantae; Streptophyta; Magnoliopsida; Malpighiales; Euphorbiaceae. The record is from RefSeq and is a predicted model, not a curated record. The transcript is spliced from 3 exons.